This 359-nucleotide transfer-messenger RNA is filed under the name Chromatiaceae. Its description in RNAcentral is "Imhoffiella drewsii Standard tmRNA". It matches the Rfam family "transfer-messenger RNA". Rfam says of the family: Bacterial tmRNA, also known as 10Sa RNA or SsrA, is named for its dual tRNA and mRNA-like properties. Its role is to liberate the mRNA from a stalled ribosome. To accomplish this part of the tmRNA is used as a reading frame that ends in a translation stop signal. Lineage: Bacteria; Pseudomonadati; Pseudomonadota; Gammaproteobacteria; Chromatiales. The record is from RNAcentral. RNAcentral also lists the same sequence under 1 other name.
GGGGGCGACAUGGCUUUCGACGUGGGUCGCAAAACCCGAGGUGCAUGCCGAGGUGCGGGUUACCUCGUAAAUCCAUCCGCAAAUUUAUAGUUGCCAACGACGACAACUACGCUCUCGCUGCUUAACCCAGCGGGCCUCUGACCGUCUCUUGCCUAUGGGCGGCGGAUUCCAGGGGUAAAAUCACAUGGGAUCGCGGUGACGGGAGUCCGGACCUAAUCCGCUAAAACCUAACGGAAUCGCCGACUGAUCGCCCUGCCCUUCGGGCGGCGGAAGGUUAAAAAUAAUUGAGUGGGCUAAGCAUGUAGUAUCCAACGGCAGAGGGCUUGCGGACGCGGGUUCGAUUCCCGCCGCCUCCACCA